GACGAACGCUGGCGGCGUGCUUAACACAUGCAAGUCGAACGGAAAGGCCCUGCUUGCAGGGUACUCGAGUGGCGAACGGGUGAGUAACACGCGGGUGAACUGUCCUGUACACCGGGAUAAGCCUGGGGAACUGUGUCUAAUACCGGGUAUGAGCCAUCCUGAGUGAUGUGGGUGGAUAGUUUUUUUGGUGUAGGAUGAGCUGGCGGCCUACCUGUUUGUUGGUGGGGUAAUGGCCUACCAAGGCGGCGUCGGGUAGGCGGCCCGCGUGGGUGGACGGCCAAAAUGGGGAUGGGAUACGGCCCAGACCCCUACGGGGGGCAACAGUGGGGAAUAUUGCAAAAUGGGCGCGAGCCUGAUGCAGCGAAGCCGCGUGGGGGAUGAAGGCCUUCGGGUUGUAAAAUCCUUUCGCUAGGGACGAAGCUUUGUUGUGACGGUACCUAGAUAGGAAGCACCGGCUAACUACGU
Molecule: ribosomal RNA, 465 nt
Filed under: uncultured bacterium
Lineage: Bacteria
Description: partial 16S ribosomal RNA
Rfam family: Bacterial small subunit ribosomal RNA
Source: RNAcentral